Antechinus flavipes (yellow-footed antechinus) is the source of this 102-nucleotide small nuclear RNA. Lineage: Eukaryota; Metazoa; Chordata; Mammalia; Dasyuromorphia; Dasyuridae. The record is from RefSeq and is a predicted model, not a curated record.
GUGCUUGCUUUGGCAGCACAUAUACUAAAAUUAAACUGAUACAGAGAUUAGCAUGGCUCCCGAGCUAGGAUGUCAUGAAAAUUUAUAAAGAAAAAGAUUAAU